CUACGGGUCGCUGCAGUGGGGAAUAUUGGACAAUGGGGGAAACCCUGAUCCAGCAAUGCCGCGUGUGUGAAGAAGGCCUGCGGGUUGUAAAGCACUUUCGGUUGGGAGGACUGCUUCUAGCACUAAUAUUGUUGGAAGUUGACGUUACCUUCAGAAGAAGCACCGGCUAACUCCGUGCCAGCAGCCGCGGGUAAUACGGAGGGUGCAAGCGUUAACCGGAAUUACUGGGCGUAAAGCGCGCGUAGGCGGCUAGAUCAGUCGGGUGUGAAAGCCCCGGGCUUAACCUGGGAACUGCAUCCGAUACUGUCUAGCUUGAGUACAGGAGAGGAGAGUGGAAUUCCACAUGUAGCGGUGAAAUGCGUAGAUAUGUGGAGGAACACCAAUGGCGAAGGCAGCUCUCUGGCCUGAUACUGACGCUGAGGUGCGAAAGCGUGGGGAGCAAACAGGAUUAGAUACCCUCGUAGUC
Molecule: ribosomal RNA, 466 nt
Filed under: uncultured bacterium
Lineage: Bacteria
Description: partial 16S ribosomal RNA
Rfam family: Bacterial small subunit ribosomal RNA
Source: RNAcentral